GUGCCAGCAGCCGCGGUAAUACGUAAGGUCCGAGCGUUGUCCGGAAUCAUUGGGCGUAAAGGGUACGUAGGCGGGUAAGCAAGUUAGAAGUGAAAUCCUAUAGCUCAACUAUAGUAAGCUUUUAAAACUGUUUAUCUUGAGGUAUGGAAGGGAAAGUGGAAUUCCUAGUGUAGCGGUGAAAUGCGCAGAUAUUAGGAGGAAUACCGGUGGCGAAGGCGACUUUCUGGCCAUAACCUGACGCUGAGGU
This 247-nucleotide ribosomal RNA is filed under the name uncultured Eubacteriales bacterium. RNAcentral describes it as "uncultured Clostridiales bacterium partial 16S ribosomal RNA". It matches the Rfam family "Bacterial small subunit ribosomal RNA", at positions 505 to 752 of the family's 1533-position model. Lineage: Bacteria; Bacillati; Bacillota; Clostridia; Eubacteriales. The record is from RNAcentral.